GAUGAACGCUGGCGGCGUGCCUAAUACAUGCAAGUCGAGCGAACAGACGAGGAGCUUGCUCCUUUGACGUUAGCGGCGGACGGGUGAGUAACACGUGGAUAACCUACCUAUAAGACUGGGAUAACUUCGGGAAACCGGAGCUAAUACCGGAUAACAUGUUGAACCGCAUGGUUCAACAGUGAAAGACGGUCUUGCUGUCACUUUUAGAUGGAUCCGCGCCGCAUUAGCUAGUUGGUAAGGUAACGGCUUACCAAGGCAACGAUGCGUAGCCGACCUGAGAGGGUGAUCGGCCACACUGGAACUGAGACACGGUCCAGACUCCUACGGGAGGCAGCAGUAGGGAAUCUUCCGCAAUGGGCGAAAGCCUGACGGAGCAACGCCGCGUGAGUGAAGAAGGUCUUCGGAUCGUAAAACUCUGUUAUUAGGGAAGAACAAAUGUGUAAGUAACUAUGCACGUCUUGACGGUACCUAAUCAGAAAGCCACGGCUAACUACGUG
RNAcentral lists this ribosomal RNA (497 nucleotides) under uncultured bacterium. Its description in RNAcentral is "partial 16S ribosomal RNA". It matches the Rfam family "Bacterial small subunit ribosomal RNA", at positions 28 to 507 of the family's 1533-position model. The record is from RNAcentral.